UGGGGAAUAUUGCACAAUGGGCGCAAGCCUGAUGCAGCCAUGCCGCGUGUGUGAAGAAGGCCUUCGGGUUGUAAAGCACUUUCAGCGGGGAGGAAGGUGGUGAACUUAAUACGUUCAUCAAUUGACGUUACUCGCAGAAGAAGCACCGGCUAACUCCGUGCCAGCAGCCGCGGUAAUACGGAGGGUGCAAGCGUUAAUCGGAAUUACUGGGCGUAAAGCGCACGCAGGCGGUUUGUUAAGUCAGGUGUGAAAUCCCCGGGCUCAACCUGGGAACUGCAUUUGAAACUGGCAAGCUAGAGUCUCGUAGAGGGGGGUAGAAUUCCAGGUGUAGCGGUGAAAUGCGUAGAGAUCUGGAGGAAUACCGGUGGCGAAGGCGGCCCCCUGGACGAAGACUGACGCUCAGGUGCGAAAGCGUGGGGAGCAAACAGAUUAGAUACCCUGGUAGUCCACGCUGUAAACGAUGUCGAUUUUGGAGGUUGUGCCCUUGAGGCGUGGCUUCCGGAGCUAACGCGUUAAAUCGACCGCCUGGGGAGUACGGCCGCAAGGUU
Molecule: ribosomal RNA, 548 nt
Filed under: uncultured bacterium
Lineage: Bacteria
Description: partial 16S ribosomal RNA
Rfam family: Bacterial small subunit ribosomal RNA
Source: RNAcentral